AUGAACGCUGGCGGCGUGCCUAAUCCAUGCCCGUCGAGCGAACGGACGAGAAGCUUGCUUCUCUGAUGUUAGCGGCGGACGGGUGAGUAACACGUGGAUAACCUACCUAUAAGACUGGGAUAACUUCGGGAAACCGGAGCUAAUACCGGAUGAUAUUUUGAACCGCAUGGUUCAAAAGUGAAAGACGGUCUUGCUGUCACUUAUAGAUGGAUCCGCGCUGCAUUAGCUAGUUGGUAAAGUAACGGCUUACCAAGGCAACGAUGCAUAGCCGACCUGAGAGGGUGAUCGGCCACACUGGAACUGAGACACGGUCCAGACUCCUACGGGAGGCAGCAGUAGGGAAUCUUCCGCAAUGGGCGAAAGCCUGACGGAGCAACGCCGCGUGAGUGAUGAAGGUCUUCGGAUCGUAAAACUCUGUUAUUAGGGAAGAACAUAUGUGUAAGUAACUGUGCACAUCUUGACGGUACCUAAUCAGAAAGCCACGGCUAACUACGUG
Molecule: ribosomal RNA, 496 nt
Filed under: uncultured bacterium
Lineage: Bacteria
Description: partial 16S ribosomal RNA
Rfam family: Bacterial small subunit ribosomal RNA
Source: RNAcentral